Molecule: ribosomal RNA, 439 nt
Filed under: Shigella flexneri
Lineage: Bacteria; Pseudomonadati; Pseudomonadota; Gammaproteobacteria; Enterobacterales; Enterobacteriaceae
Description: bacterial SSU rRNA
Rfam family: Bacterial small subunit ribosomal RNA
Source: RNAcentral
AAAUUGAAGAGUUUGAUCAUGGCUCAGAUUGAACGCUGGCGGCAGGCCUAACACAUGCAAGUCGAACGGUAACAGGAAGCAGCUUGCUGUUUCGCUGACGAGUGGCGGACGGGUGAGUAAUGUCUGGGAAACUGCCUGAUGGAGGGGGAUAACUACUGGAAACGGUAGCUAAUACCGCAUAACGUCGCAAGACCAAAGAGGGGGACCUUCGGGCCUCUUGCCAUCGGAUGUGCCCAGAUGGGAUUAGCUAGUAGGUGGGGUAACGGCUCACCUAGGCGACGAUCCCUAGCUGGUCUGAGAGGAUGACCAGCCACACUGGAACUGAGACACGGUCCAGACUCCUACGGGAGGCAGCAGUGGGGAAUAUUGCACAAUGGGCGCAAGCCUGAUGCAGCCAUGCCGCGUGUAUGAAGAAGGCCUUCGGGUUGUAAAGUACUUU